Molecule: ribosomal RNA, 211 nt
Filed under: uncultured bacterium
Lineage: Bacteria
Description: partial 16S ribosomal RNA
Rfam family: Bacterial small subunit ribosomal RNA
Source: RNAcentral
UAACCUGCCUCAUACACAUGAUAACAUACCGAAAGGUAUGCUAAUACAAGAUGAUAUAAGAGAUUCGCAUGGAUUUCUUAUCAAAGCUUUUGCGGUAUGAGAUGGACCCGCGUCUGAUUAGCUAGUUGGUAAGGUAAUGGCUUACCAAGGCGACGAUCAGUAGCCGACCUGAGAGGGUGAUCGGCCACAUUGGAACUGAGACACGGUCCAA